AAUCUAAACUUUAAAUUUUUAUAAUUUAAAGUCAUGUGAUUUUCUAAACUCAUUGAAAUUUUUAUAAAUUAUGAUUGAAUUCAUAACUAUAAAGAGUUAUAGUCUCGUUAUUUAAAAUUUCAAGCAUGGGAAUUAGAAUUAAAGAGUCGGGUAGCUUGAGAAUGCUGCCUUAAUAUAGGUGGUACACCCCAUCUAAAGCUAAAUAUUGUAAAGAGACCGAUAGCAUACAAGUAGUGUGAACGAAAGAUGAAAAGAACUCCUAAACGGAGAAUUAAAAGCGCCUGAACUUGUCUAGGUUUUCGCAUUUCUUUAAUGCGCCCGUCUUGAAACACGGAUUAGGGAGUUUUACUUAAAUACGAGUCUUUAACUUUUAAAGUAAUUUUUUUAAAAAAGGCGAAAAGAAAUUAACUGGUUUUUUUAACAUGGCUAUAGAGUAUUUAAGUCAAAACCCGAAUGGAGGUGAACUAUUCCUGCAAAGAUUGAAGUCAGGGGAAACUCUGAUGGAAGAUCGUUGGCGUUAUUGAUGUGCAAAUCAUUUGCUUUAUGUAGGUAUAGGUGCGAAAGACUCAUCGAACCUCCUAAUAGCUGGUUUCCUCCGAAGUUUCCCUCAGGAUAGCUGUAACAUUUUUAAAUAGUUAAGGAUAGUAGAGAAAUGGGUAGAGGUGUAGUGGAACUACGGUUCUGCAACUUAUUUCCAAACUUCGAACGUUCUUGAUAUAAAAAAUUACCUAAUAGGAAUUUUUUAUUUAAAUAUAUGUUAUAAGUGGGCUCUGACCGGUAAGCGGUCAUGGCGAAAAGGGAUGAACCUAACGUAUAAAUAAGGUGCCUAAAUUUACUAACAAUGAAACCAUUAAAAGAGUCCAUGUAUUUAGACAGCGGGUCGGUGCCCCUAAAAGCAGGUAUCCGUUAAUGAGUGUGUUAAAACUCCCCCGCCGAAUACUCUGGCCUUGAAAAUGAAUGGCGCAUAUAGUAAUACCGAUAUUAUACAUUAAAAUUAUUUAAAAAUUUUAAAAGUAGGGGGAUGUGGAUAUCUUAGAGAAUUUUUAAUUGUAAAAUUGAAUUGAAAGAUAUCUAUUACAGAUCCUAAUUGAAGUAGCGAUUAUCCAGGUUAAUCUCCUGGGGGCUGAUGAGGAGUAGGGUUUCUGGGCAACUUAAACGGACCCAGAGUUAGUCGAUCCUAAUCAAAUUAAAUUUAGAGAAAGGGAAUAUGAAUGAUAUUUCAUAACUAAAAUUAAUUUUUAAAUGGUGACAUUUUUUUAAACUUAUUUCCAUCAAUUAAAUACUGUUUAAUAGGGAUUUCUUUCCUAUAUAACUUUUUAAUUAAAACUUAAGAAACAGGUUAACUGGAGAAUAAAGUUUUAAUUUAGUAAAAUUAUAAUUUCGAUUAUAAUAACGGCUAUUUAAAUGAUCCAUGAAACAAUAAGUUUAUUUUUUCAAAAAUUAAUUUAAUCGUACCGAUAACCGCAUCAGGUCUCCAAGGUGAGUAGCUUCUGGCCAUUGAGUAAUGGUAAUUUAGGGAAUUCGGCCAAUUAGAGCUGUAACUUCGGGAUAAAGCUUGGCUCUGAUGGAAAUCAGAACCGAUAGUUACAAGGAGAGCCCAACUGUUUAAUAAAAACUUAGUGUCGCGUCAUACCUUUAUAAGUAAUAAACGUGACAUGAAUCCUGCUCAGUGCUGUGUUUGUUAAACUGGAUUAAUCCAUUUAAGCGCCGGUAAAUAGCUGGGGUAACUAUGACUCUUAUCAAAGUAGCGAAAUACCUCGUCACUUAAUUAGUGACCUGCAUGAACGGAGCUAUGAGGUUCUCACUGUCCCAAAUUAUCACUCAGCGAACCAACAGUUGUGGGAACGGGCACAAAUUAUCCAGCGGGGAAAGAAGACCCUGUAGAGCUUCACUUUGGUCUAAUCUUGUAUAGUUUCGUUAGGGGUGCAGUCUAGGUGGGAGAUUUUUAAUCAAAUAUGAGAAACCACUACCCUUUCUGGAAUUAUACUUACUAAAAUUCUUUUCUAAAUUUUAGGAUCGGAUUAGAUAGAAAGUUUGGCUGGGGCGGCACACCUUCGAAAAAGCAGCGAAGGUGUCCUAAGUUAAGCUCAGUAAGGACAGAAAUCUUACGUUGAGGAUAAGGCCAAAAGCUUAAUUUACUGUGCCUUUUUGUACUAGGAUCAGUUUGGAAACAAAGGCCUAACGAUCCCUAAUUAGUCUUAGGUGUGUAAGACUUGGGGUGACAGACAAGUUACCUCCGGGACAACUGGCUUGUGGCUGCUAAGAGAUCAAAUCAACGCAGCUUUUUGAUUCUUCGAUGUCGGCUCUUCCC
This 2311-nucleotide ribosomal RNA is filed under the name human gut metagenome. RNAcentral's name for it is "eukaryotic LSU rRNA". It matches the Rfam family "Eukaryotic large subunit ribosomal RNA", at positions 112 to 2895 of the family's 3401-position model. The record is from RNAcentral.